GCUGGGCAUGGUGGCGCAUGCCUGUAAUCUCAGCUACUUGGGAGGCUGAGGCAGGAGAAUUGCUUGAACCCAGGAGGCGGAGGUUGUGGUGAGCUGAGAUCGUGCCACUGCACUCCAGCCUGGGCAACAGAGCAAGACUCUGCCUCAA
Molecule: signal recognition particle RNA, 148 nt
Filed under: Chlorocebus sabaeus (green monkey)
Lineage: Eukaryota; Metazoa; Chordata; Mammalia; Primates; Cercopithecidae
Description: Metazoan signal recognition particle RNA
Rfam family: Metazoan signal recognition particle RNA
About the family: The signal recognition particle (SRP) is a universally conserved ribonucleoprotein. It is involved in the co-translational targeting of proteins to membranes.
Source: Rfam by way of RNAcentral